UGGCUCUCGCAUCGAUGAAGAACGCAGCGAAAUGCGAUAAGUAAUGUGAAUUGCAGAAUUCAGUGAAUCAUCGAAUCUUUGAACGCACCUUGCGCCUCUUGGUAUUCCGAGAGGCAUGCCUGUUUGAGUGUCAUGAAACAUCAAUUCACAAGAGUUUUCUCUCGUGGACUUGGACCUGGGCGCUGCCUCACAAGGCUCGCCUCAAAUGACUCAGUGGGAAUCUCUUGACCUACGCCUGACGUGAUAAGUUUCGUCUCGGCCGGUCUCGGAGCCCGCUCACAACACCCCAUACUUUUACCAUUGACCUCAAAUCAGGUAGGGCUACCCGCUGA
Molecule: unclassified non-coding RNA, 332 nt
Filed under: uncultured fungus
Lineage: Eukaryota; Fungi
Description: partial contains 5.8S ribosomal RNA and internal transcribed spacer 2
Rfam family: 5.8S ribosomal RNA (bases 1-133)
Source: RNAcentral